This 47-nucleotide transfer RNA is filed under the name Mastigeulota kiangsinensis. RNAcentral describes it as "tRNA-Lys". The record is from RNAcentral. Lineage: Eukaryota; Metazoa; Mollusca; Gastropoda; Stylommatophora; Camaenidae.
AUGGCCGAGCAGGCCUUAGAUUUUUAAUCUAAUAACGGGUUAACCCU